UCUUCUCUGGAAACCGAAGAGCCGGCUGGCGGAAGCGGAGUUGCUGGGUUGGGCCCUAUUCCAGGAAGGUAGCUGAUAACCUGCAGGACGGCUUGAUCUCUGCACUGGGACGGGCUGCAGAAUGCAUUGGUCGGAGCAGCGAAUGGCCGCACUCGAUCUCAGCGGUAGUAACAGGAAUCACUGCUCCGGGGUUUCCAGGCCGGUGCUGUGUCCAGGGAAAAGGUUGGAAGCCCUUUCGCAGCCGAGGAGCCCAACAACAACUCCCAUUAACUGGGCCUAGCCCGAUGGCGCCGCCACUGUCCGGAGGCCUGCAAUUACAACGUGUCAGGCAGCUGUUGACAUAGGGGUUGAGGAUUUUCACUGUGUCCUCGCCAUGCCGCGAUCUUUCCCCAUUAAAGCAAAUGUGGUAAACAGAAAAAAA
Molecule: long non-coding RNA, 421 nt
Organism: Chiloscyllium plagiosum (whitespotted bambooshark)
Lineage: Eukaryota; Metazoa; Chordata; Chondrichthyes; Orectolobiformes; Hemiscylliidae
Source: RefSeq, a predicted model, not a curated record